GGCUAUGACAGCACGGUGUGACUUUACCUGAGGGAGCUGAGCGAUGACGCGGUCCCGUCGGACAGGAGGAAGAACACUCAUGGCUGGAACUCGCACAGACAUGAAGCUUCAGUGUAAAUGUUCAGCUGAGCGACCUGUGCGGCGCGGUUUGUCCUCCUGAAACACAAACUCCUCGCUGUGAUUUAAACCCAUCCAGGCUGAGUGUCUGAAGGUGUUUUUAAAAGUGUGGCGUUUGUGGAGAUCCGAGCUUGAGGCCGAUCCACGGAAGUUGAGUUGAGGGGGGAGCAGCAGACUGGAGGAGCCGCUGCUGACUCAGACCUCCGGAUUUUUCUUUCUCCCCCCUUCAGUCUGACUGUCCUCCCACAUUCUCUCUGCUGGGUCCCCUGCUGGAGGAAAUGAGGAACGACAGGGAAUAAAAACAACCAGUCCAUGUAUGCAAACAACUUAUUUAUUCAUGUACUUAUUCAUAUUCUCUAUUAAACUUUUUUUCUUCCUUAUUUUUCUUUGUUUGUAAAGCAGGAGUAAAGAGUAAAUGUGAGACUGAGAUACAAAAGAGAGAAAUAUGUCAUUAAAAUAUGAAAAUAAGUGUCUUUUCCUUCUACAUAACACAAUCAUUUCUGCAAGAUGUGACUCAUAUGUUCACGCUUUUCACGGGUAUUUAAUGAAUGUGUCAUUAUUUGUGCAUUAAACUGGGGGAAAAAU
Acanthopagrus latus (yellowfin seabream) is the source of this 702-nucleotide long non-coding RNA. RefSeq lists it as uncharacterized. The record is from RefSeq and is a predicted model, not a curated record. The transcript has 2 exons. Lineage: Eukaryota; Metazoa; Chordata; Actinopteri; Spariformes; Sparidae.